GCGCCUAAUGCAUGCAAGUCGAACGAUCGAGUCCCGACUCGUCGGGGCAAGAUAGUGGCGGACGGCUGAGUAACACGUAAGUAACCUAUCCUGAAGAGGGGGAUAAUCCCGAGAAAUCAGGCCUAAUACCCCGUAUCUCUCGCGUUCCACGCGGAUGCGAGAGAAAGGCCUCCCGACUUGUCGAGGGGUCGCUUGAGGAGGGGCUUGCGUUCUAUCAGGUAGUUGGUGAGGUAAUGGCCCACCAAGGCUCCGAUUGGUAGCCGGCCUGAGAGGGCGGACGGUCACACUGGAACUGAGACACGGUCCAGACUCCUACGGGAGGCAGCAGUGAGGAAUUUUCGUCAAUGGGGGAAACCCUGAACGAGCAACGCCGCGUGGAGGACGAAGACCUUCGGGUUGUAAACUCCUGUCGGACGGGACGAAAGUUAUCGAGGUUAAUACCCUUGGUAGUUGACGGUACCGUACGAGGAAGCCCCGGCUAACUUCUGUGCCACCAGCCGCGGAAAUACGAGGGGGGCAAGCGUUG
RNAcentral lists this ribosomal RNA (526 nucleotides) under uncultured bacterium. RNAcentral describes it as "bacterial SSU rRNA". It matches the Rfam family "Bacterial small subunit ribosomal RNA", at positions 44 to 543 of the family's 1533-position model. The record is from RNAcentral.